This 301-nucleotide ribosomal RNA is filed under the name uncultured bacterium. RNAcentral's name for it is "partial 16S ribosomal RNA". It matches the Rfam family "Bacterial small subunit ribosomal RNA", at positions 509 to 807 of the family's 1533-position model. The record is from RNAcentral.
CAGUCGCCGCGGGAAUACGUAGGUGGCAAGCGUUGUCCGGAAUUAUUGGGCGUAAAGGGCUCGCAGGCGGUUUCUUAAGUCUGAUGUGAAAGCCCCCGGCUCAACCGGGGAGGGUCAUUGGAAACUGGGAAACUUGAGUGCAGAAGAGGAGAGUGGAACUCCACGUGUAGCGGUGAAAUGCGUAGAGAUGUGGAGGAACACCAGUGGCGAAGGCGACUCUCUGGUCUGUAACUGACGCUGAGGAGCGAAAGCGUGGGGAGCGAACAGGAUUAGAUACCCCGGUAGUCCCUGUCUCUUAUAC